AACGAACGCUGGCGGCAUGCCUAACACAUGCAAGUCGAACGAGACCUUCGGGUCUAGUGGCGCACGGGUGCGUAACGCGUGGGAACCUGCCCUUAGGUUCGGAAUAACUCCCCGAAAGGGGUGCUAAUACCGGAUAAUGUCUUCGGACCAAAGAUUUAUCGCCUUUGGAUGGGCCCGCGUUGGAUUAGCUAGUUGGUAGGGUAAAAGCCUACCAAGGCGACGAUCCAUAGCUGGUCUGAGAGGAUGAUCAGCCACACUGGGACUGAGACACGGCCCAGACUCCUACGGGAGGCAGCAGUGGGGAAUAUUGGACAAUGGGCGAAAGCCUGAUCCAGCAAUGCCGCGUGAGUGAUGAAGGCCUUAAGGUUGUAAAGCUCUUUUACCCGGGAUGAUAAUGACAGUACCGGGAGAAUAAGCUCCGGCUAACUCCGUG
This 433-nucleotide ribosomal RNA is filed under the name uncultured bacterium. RNAcentral describes it as "partial 16S ribosomal RNA". It matches the Rfam family "Bacterial small subunit ribosomal RNA", at positions 29 to 507 of the family's 1533-position model. The record is from RNAcentral.